Molecule: long non-coding RNA, 1575 nt
Filed under: Phaseolus vulgaris (common bean)
Lineage: Eukaryota; Viridiplantae; Streptophyta; Magnoliopsida; Fabales; Fabaceae
Description: long non-coding RNA (PVUL_LNC003317)
Source: RNAcentral
GGUUGGAGGUUUAUCAAUUAUUGAUGGCAAGAAUGCUUAUUUUCAUCAAUGCAGAUUACAACUACAAUUCUACAAUCUGUACGCACUGUUGUUUCCAGGGGAAAUCAAUGUUACUUACUCACCACUAAGUUAGACUGAGUAUUUUAUGCUUCUCUUUUUUGGACUUUCUUUUUUAUUUUAUUUUUCCCAUUGGUAAUUGGGUUCUAAAAAGUGGAUCAUCUUGAUAGUCUGUUUUUCUAAAUCCUUUUUGCAUGUACGGUGUCUAGUGUCACUAACGUUUUUCCUCAAGUAAGUCUGAACUUUGCUGGUGGGGCAUCUCUGCUUUUAAGAUCACGGGACUACCUGAUACAACAUAAUUCUAUUGUAAGUAUUCAAACUUCAAUUGCUAUUUCUUAGAUUCUCUGAGCGUCUUGAGAACAGAUAUUGCUGAUAGCAUUUUGUUCUUCACGUACACUUUAUUGCUUUGUAUUGUCCAACUUUUGUGUACUAUAUGUGACCUCACUAGAUGCUAUGGUGAACCUAUGCAUGUUACAGGGUGGUGCAGCAGUGUGGUGUAUUGGUUUUCAAAAAAUCCAAGGUCAAGGGGUAACAAUUCUAGGAGGAAUAAUCCAUCCAUACCAAUUUGAAAACUUUAUGUCCUAUAUUCAUCUCUUUUAUGGUGACAUCUAGCAUGGAUAAAUGGACUAAGCUCAUCACAUAUUUAAUAUUGCAAGUUUCAUUUUUAACUUAAUUCUGCUCCACUCUUGCCAAUAUUUAUUGGAGACCAAUUAAAAUCUGUUUAAUUUAUUCUUGAUUCUGGAGUGAUCUAGGACUAUAUUACUGUACUGAAAUAUAUAAUAAUAUGGAGUUAUACUAAAAUUUGUCUAAUUUAACAUCGAUCUAAGUGAUUUGAAAUUAUAUUAUAUAAUAACUUGGAGUUAUAAUAAGUGGUUUAAACCAAAACAUUACAUCAGUAAUUUUCACAAUUCUGCAUUUUUGUUCUCUUUCAUUUCUCAAAUAUGGUCACAAAGGAGAUGCAUAAUCAGUAGAAAAAGGAUUAGAUAAGCUCCAACAUUCAUAACAUCUUUGUUACACUUUAUAGGAGGAAUAACAACCAAAUAUGAGGUGGAUUGAAGAUUCAAUCACCACAAAACAAAAUGGGCUAUCAUCAGAAAGAACUUUCAUUUUCAGUAAUUGAUCAUGCAUUUAAAUUUUGUUAUACAACUAAUUUCUCAUGAUGCUGCUUUAGCUCUUUAUAACAACUUCAAAAGACCAUUUACCUCACCAAAAGAACUUCUUAAGACUUCACACACCACUUUAAUUGUUUGUUUGGACUGAGAAGUGAAAAUAAGAUAGCAAAGAAGGAAAGAAAGAAAAGAGAGAAAAAGUGAAAUAUUUGAUUGUUUAAUAAAAGAGAGUAAAAAAAUGAAGAAAAAUGAAACAAUAAUUUAAUUGAUUUGAUAGAUUAAAAAAAUUAAUUGACAUAUUUAAUAAAUGAACAAAGUUUCCUUUUCUUAAAAAUGAAUUUUUGAUUAAAUGUUAAUAAAUUUUAAGUGUUUUUCCUAUAAAUUGGAUUUUCACUGUAAAAUAAUAAUU